Non-coding RNA from Arachis ipaensis, 4005 nucleotides. NCBI's taxonomy places the organism in Eukaryota, Viridiplantae, Streptophyta, Magnoliopsida, Fabales, Fabaceae. The record is from RefSeq and is a predicted model, not a curated record.
ACCCCCAAAAUACCCCUACCACUAUCACACUACAAAUCCCUAAUCUUCUUCCACAGCCCCCAGUCUCUCGCUCUGUCAUACACUAGAACGACAACUACUUCUUUCUCCAGCAUCGCUGCCUCCUCUCCUCUGGUCUUCUGUCCCUCUCUCCGCUGCUGCUGUGCUCUCUUCUCACCCAGUCUCGGUCGCUACCUCUGUACUCUCGCUCCAACCUCCGCACAUCGCCGCUGUUCUAUCAACCAGCCUCCGCCGCCGCCGCCGCCGCCUGCAAACUAUGCUGCUGGCACCGCAACGAACACUGCCUCCUUCAGAAAGUUAGGUUGCCAGUGCAAUUUAUCAAAUGGAUAUUAAUGGGCAUGGCGAUGGUGAGGAGAACGUGGGAGAUGCUGCAGAAAUAUAAAUAUAGUUAUAAGAAUUUUGCACUCUAACGACACAACAGUGAUGCAGUGCCUCUGGCGAAGUCAGUCACAGGUUCAAGUUUAACAACUAUGUUCACAAACCCUUCUGCUGCUGUACGAGCUUCCAAGGUUGCCCUUGUGCAUAGUUGUGCUCAUGCUCACCGAAGAUCUGCUCCCGUACCACUUAAGGAGAAAGUGCUGAUCAUAAGACCUGAGAUUUGGUUUGUGAAGGUUGCCGCAACUCUUUUUGUUUGGUCAAACUCAUUGGAUAGAUUUUUUGGUUAUUUUAGUGAUCAUUUAACUCCUCCACUUGCAUUAGAGGUUAUCAAAUGGCUGAACAAUCCCACCUUGCUUUUGAAGUUCUUUCACUUUAGUAAGAAAAUGUUGAACAUAUCUCACACAUACUUGACUUAUGAUGUGCUAUUAAGAUCCCUUUGUCAAGCAGGCCUUCACAAUUCAGCAACAUUAAUAUAUAAUUGUAUGAAAUCUGAUGGGAAAUUGCCUGAGAGUAAGCUGUUAGGAUUCUUGGUUUCUUCUUAUGCACUGGCAAACAGAUUUGAUAUGUCGAGGGAAUUACUUGCUGAAUCUCAUUCCAAUAAGGCACCUGUGAAUGCUAUUGUUUAUAAUAGCUUGUUGAAUGUAUUGGUAAAUCAAAAGAAAUUAGAUGAUGCUGUUUGUUUACUCAUGGAGCUUAUGAGAUUGCAACGUCAUCUAGAGACCUUCACCUUCAACAUUGUAAUGCGAGGUUUGUGCAGAGCUGGGGAAAUCAAUGAAGCUUUUAAGUUUCUCAAUGAUAUGAUUAGCUAUGGUUGUCAACCCGAUAUAGUUACAUAUAACACUCUUAUACAUGGUUUAUGUAUAAAUAACAAAGUCGAUAAAGCACGCGAUCUACUAAAAGAUGUUUCUUCAAAAACUGAUUUUGCCCCCAAUGUUGUAAGUUAUACAACAAUAAUAUCUGCUUAUUGCAAACUGGGUAAGAUAACAGAGGGAACUUCUCUUUUUGAUGAAAUGGUUGAAUCUGGAAUUAGGCCUAAUACAUUUACUUAUAAUGUGCUUAUUCAUGGCGUUGCUAAGAUGGGUGACAUGGCUUCUGCAGUAGCCAUGCAUGACAGUAUGUUUUUUCACGGUUGUCCCCCUGAUGUUGUUACCUUCACUUCGCUAAUUGAUGGAUAUUGCCGAGCUGGGCAGGUGAAUCAUGGCAUGGACCUGUGGCAUGAAAUGCUUGCAAGAAAUAUUUCUGCGAAUUUGUAUACAUUCUCUGUGCUUACUAAUGCUCUAUGCAAGAGCAAUAGGCUACAAGAAGCUCAUGACAUUUUGAGGCUAUUGAAGCAAAGUGAAAUUGUUCCACAGCCCUUUAUCUAUAAUCCUGUUAUUGAUGGAUAUUGCAAAUCUGGGAAUGUUGAUGAGGCUAAUGCAAUUGUACUAGAAAUGGAGGAGAAGUGCAAACCUGAUAAGUUGACAUAUACCAUUCUUAUUGUUGGAUAUUGUAUGAAGGGAAGAACACGUGAAGCAAUUGGCAUCUUUUACAAGAUGUUGGAAGCUGGUUGUUCCCCAGAUGACAUUACUGUUAAAACUUUAUGCUCCUGUCUUUUGAAGGCUGGAAUGCCUCGUGAGGCUGCUCAUAUUAGGAAAAUUCUAUUUGAGAACCAAAGCUUGGGCUUGUCACUGGAAAGAUCUUAUAAUGAAAAUAUAAAUGCAGAUAUGCCAGUUCUGGUUUAUUGAAGUUCUAGUUGCAAUUAGACUCUGCCUUGCAUCAUUUUCCCCUGAGAAAUACAAUCAUCUUGUUGCAUGUCACUAUUUUUGUAGAGAUUAUCAAGAGGGGAACUUGAAUUGCCAAUCCUUCCAACUUUCUGCUGAUUCUUUUGAACUUGUGGGAUCAAUAGCUAAAUGCGAUGAAACUAUAAGGGAACUAAACCGAGAAAAUUAUAUUGAAAGGACCAAAACUGAAAUUUGAUGCAACUAUAUGGACCACAUAGAUUCCUUCCAAAGUUUUUCUAAAGUUGGUUAGAUACAUGAUACAAAGGUGAUUGUCCAAUAAAAUUCCUCAACGUUGUCUUACCCGUUUUUAUUGAAGAUUCACAUCCAUUUGGUGAAACUUCUUUUGUUAGAACUUGAAAAUAUUAAUUAUUAUCCUUUUUUCUUUUAAGAAAAAGAAGUAGCAGCUUAUAUUAGUAUCUAGAAAUGAAGAAGUAACUCUAUCCAAAACUGUUAAUUUUUUAUGGCCUAUGAAGUAGCCACAUUUGUUGGACACAGCAUAUGGGUAAGGUCUGAGUUUUCCUGAACUGACUUCAAAUUUUUUGGGUUCUCAUGUUGGCACAGUGCAAACAGCUAUGUUCUACGAUUUAUCACCAUCUCAUGCAUUCAAGCAAUUGUGAAUUCGAGACAUAAUAAAGCAUUUGAGUUGAAUAAUAUUGAGAAGUUAAGUAGGCCCCAAUCUUACAUUAUUGAUAAGUGGGAUAAAAGAAAGGAGGAAAAAUGAAAGGGUAUCAUGAGUUUGAGUUUCGUCCACUAUGGAGUUUUGUUGGUUCAUAGGGAUGAGCUUCUUACAAUGUUAUCCUUUAUAAUUUUUCUAAAGCAAGUACUAUAUGGUUGACGUAUGGAGGAUAUAGAUUUUAAUUUUAUUAGGAGGCACAAAUAUUGUAGGUCAACUAUGAUUCUAUUAGAACAUAUAACUUCACAAAACUACUUUCAUGAAUGAAGUCAAUGGGUUUACUUGCAAGGAGUGUCAGUAAUUGUAGUUUGUAGAACUUGCAUUCUAUCCUUGUUGCAUAUUAUUAUCCAUGCUAUUUCUGAACUUCAAAGCAAUAGGCAAUAACCUUUUGUAUCUCCAUCAAACUUCGAGAGCCUGCUGUGGUGCUCAUCCAUCUCCUAUGAGAAUUACAGAAUGGUUGAUGUUGAGCUGGCUAGCUGAUGCUGCUAGCUUACUUUAUCUGCUACAAUGCAAAUUUGGUUACCUUCAUAUACACUAUACAGCCCAAGGGAAUAAAUGUCUCCUGAGUCAACCAUUUAUAAACUGAUGGAAGCCUAGGGUCCAUUUCAAAGGGCAUUUAAAGGUGUUAUACAGAUGGCUACUCACUAAUCUACUAUUCGUUAAUUGGAAAUGCUAUCCCUUGUUUAAAGAAAGUUUUUCACCCAGGAAUUGUGGUAGCUCCAUGGUGUAACAUGACAAUUGCCUUGCUAAUUAUGAGUAGGAAAGCUCCCAAGUUGUAGAAUUUUAUGAGAGCUGUGUAAUUGUGAUAAAGAAGACAAACUUAAGGGUAAAAAACUAAUGGAAGCAAGGAAAGCCCAUUCUCCUGGAAAUCACUUGCACUCUCCCACUCUGCUUAGUACUUAGAAGUAUUUGUAAAUUCAAAUCGACUAAUAUUCGUAGUAGGUUAUUCCUUGCAGAAUAAAAAUAAUGCAGUUGAGUUUCUGAUCAUUGUUCUCUAAAUUUGUACACACCAAUCAAAUUUUGCUCUCAAACUAUUUUGGUUACGCCAUAUACAAACAUGAAUUGUGGUUAGGAGAGGCAUACAAAUUACUUUUAGCUACUUACUCACACAAGGUGUCUUAAACUUUUUGUAUAAUACAUUUCAUAAUAUUGCACGAAAUUUUAAAUUUGUAUUCG